GACAGUGGUAGCUCAGUGGUUAAGAUGUUGGCCUUUUGAUCGGAAGGUUGAGAGUUCAAAUCCCAGCACUGGCA
Pangasianodon gigas (Mekong giant catfish) is the source of this 74-nucleotide non-coding RNA. Lineage: Eukaryota; Metazoa; Chordata; Actinopteri; Siluriformes; Pangasiidae. The record is from the annotation of a GenBank genome assembly.